RNAcentral lists this ribosomal RNA (498 nucleotides) under uncultured bacterium. RNAcentral describes it as "partial 16S ribosomal RNA". It matches the Rfam family "Bacterial small subunit ribosomal RNA", at positions 28 to 523 of the family's 1533-position model. The record is from RNAcentral.
GAUGAACGCUAGCUACAGGCUUAACACAUGCAAGUCGAGGGGUAGCAGGGUAGCAAUACCGCUGACGACCGGCGCACGGGUGAGUAACACGUAUCCAACCUUCCCAUAACUCGGGGAUAGCCUUUCGAAAGAAAGAUUAAUACCCGAUAGUACUUUAUUAAGGCAUCUUAAGAAAGUUAAAGAUUUAUUGGUUAUGGAUGGGGAUGCGUUCCAUUAGAUAGUUGGUGAGGUAACGGCUCACCAAGUCUUCGAUGGAUAGGGGUUCUGAGAGGAAGGUCCCCCACAUUGGUGCUGAGACACGGACCAAACUCCUACGGGAGGCAGCAGUGAGGAAUAUUGGUCAAUGGGCGAGAGCCUGAACCAGCCAAGUAGCGUGAAGGAUGGAGGUCCUAUGGAUUGUAAACUUCUUUUAUAGUAGAAUAAAGUGAACCACGUGUGGUUUUUUGUAUGUAUACUAUGAAUAAGGAUCGGCUAACUCCGUGUCAGCAGCCGCCGUAA